AAAAAUUUCAACCUAAAACCCCCAAAUAUGGUCAAAACCCACCAACCAUGGUCUGAGGAACCUCAGAAAGAUCUAGAACCGCCAUUUUAAGAGGUAGAAGAACCAAACCAAGUCUGAAUUAAGGUAAUUAUGGACCUCAAGAACCCAAUUUUGGGUCAAAAUCCCUAAAUUUUGGUCAAAACCACCAACCAUGGUCUGAGGAACCUCAGGAACAUCUAGAGCCGCCAUUUUAAGAGAUAGAAGAACCAAACCAAGGCCGACUCAAGGUAAUUACGGACCUCAAAACCCAACUUCUGACCCCGAACCCCCCCACAUCCUCCGUCCCCCCCUGACCCAGCAGCGGCUGCCGCUCCCCGACGCGCAGCUGGUGGUGGAACUGCUUGCUAUCAUCCUGCGGCGGGCGUCGAACUCGUGCGCCGCCAUGUAGGGGAUCUCCAGCAGCAUGGCGGCCACCAGGUAGACGCACUCGAGGAGCUCCAGGUUGACGUGCAUGUGGAAGGGCACCUGGCGGCGCUUCUCCACCUUCUCCUGCUCGGCGUUGCGCUCCUGCAGGCUGCGCAGGAGCAGCCCCUGGCCCAGCAGCUCCUUGGCGCGGCCGGAGCUCUGGAUGUCCAGCAGCGCGUUGUGCGCGUCCUUGAUCAGCCCCUGCCGGAAGGCGCAGAUGCCCAGCUGGACCAUGGUGCGGUUGUAGAGGAUCUGCGGGAAGGUUUCGGGGAGAAUUCCGGUGAUUUUGGGCAAUUUCCGGUGAUUUUGGGCAAUUUCCGGUGAUUUUAUGGGGUUUUGAGGGGGAUUUUUGGGACAUUUUGGGGGGAUUUGGGGUAAGAAAUGGGGAUUUGAGGUGCCCACGUGAGUCUCAGGUGAGUCCCAAGUGAGUCUCACCUGGACAGGUGUGGCCAGGUAAAGAAAUUUGGGGCAUUUUGGGCGAUUUCAGGUGAUUUUAGGUGAUUUUAAGGGGU
RNAcentral lists this long non-coding RNA (956 nucleotides) under Chloebia gouldiae (Gouldian finch). RNAcentral describes it as "Erythrura gouldiae (Gouldian finch) lncRNA (ENSEGOG00005017775.1)". Lineage: Eukaryota; Metazoa; Chordata; Aves; Passeriformes; Passeridae. The record is from RNAcentral.